RNAcentral lists this ribosomal RNA (360 nucleotides) under Lagopus muta (rock ptarmigan). RNAcentral describes it as "partial 12S ribosomal RNA". Lineage: Eukaryota; Metazoa; Chordata; Aves; Galliformes; Phasianidae. The record is from RNAcentral.
CCUGUAUCCGCCCGAGAACUACGAGCACAAACGCUUAAAACUCUAAGGACUUGGCGGUGCCCUAAACCCACCUAGAGGAGCCUGUUCUAUAAUCGAUAAUCCACGAUCCACCCAACCACCCCUUGCCCAGACANGCCUACAUACCUGCCGUCUGCCAGCCCACCUAAAUGAAAGACUUAAAGUGAGCUCAAUAGCCACCGGUCACAAGACAGGUCAAGGUAUAGCCCAUGAGGUGGAAGAAAUGGGCUACAUUUUCUAGCAUAAAAUAUACGAAAAAGNACAUGGNGCCAGUCCUUNGNANNAGGAUUNAGCAGUAAUAUAGGACCANNACUUUNCCCAGCCCUAUNUNACGNCNGCCCU